CGUCGAAUAAGCUAAAAGGGAGAGGGGGAGGUACUUCUUAGAAGUAUGUGCUAACACUGACUCUGAGGGGAAUUGAGGAAGGGAACUUUUGAAUGAAAUAUGCUGACUGAGGAAGCAGCUGAGCUUCCUAUUUGAGGGUCUUCAGAGAGACACUGGCUGACUGCUAGUGGGAGAUUUUAGCAGGAUCGCUGGUCAAGUAUAAGAUGUACUAGAUGGCUUCUGAAGUCCUGUUAAGUAUGGUCUUCAGAAGUUCCUGGAAGUGCCCACCGUUCAUAAAACUGAAGAAGAGGGAGACCUAGUUAUGACCCCAGCUUGUGUUCAGUUCUUGGAUUCCUCCUUAUCCUUUGGAUUCCUCUGAAGUGAAACUGACCGGGAAAUCAUCCAGGGAGACUGACAGUACCCCAAAGCCAGACUCUUCAAAAGGAGCAUCACAGGACAUAAAACAGCAGUGUGAAGUCCAAUUCAGAGGUUUCAUUCCGGCCAGGAAACAAAAGCAAGAUCCCGGGGGGGGCCGUGUGGCCAGACCUUCGCCUCCCAAAUUGCACAAUGGAAACCUUGGGUGGAGAUGA
Molecule: long non-coding RNA, 569 nt
Filed under: Phascolarctos cinereus (koala)
Lineage: Eukaryota; Metazoa; Chordata; Mammalia; Diprotodontia; Phascolarctidae
Description: lncRNA (ENSPCIG00000028475.2)
Source: RNAcentral